CGGGGUGCAGCAGGCGCGAAAACUCUACAAUGCAGACAACUGCGAUAGGGGAACAUCGAGUGAUCCUCAUAUUGGGGGUCUGUCCACCCGUCUAAAAAACGGGUGUUAGCAAGGGCCGGGCAAGACCGGUGCCAGCCGCCGCGGUAAUACCGGCGGCUCGAGUGGUGGCCGAUAUUAUUGAGUCUAAAGGGUCCGUAGCCGGCUUUGCAAGUCUCUCGGGAAAUCCAGCGGCUUAACCGUUGGUCGUCCGGGGGGUACUACAUUGCUUGGGACUGGGAGAGGUAGGAGGUACUCAGGGGGUAGGAGUGAAAUCCUGUAAUCCUUUGGGGACCACCGGUGGCGAAGGCGUCCUACCAGAACAGGUCCGACGGUGAGGGACGAAAGCUAGGGGCACGAACCGGAUUAGAUACCCGGGUAGUCCUAGCCGUACACGAUGCUCGCUAGGUGUCACAACAGUCGUGAACUGUUGUGGUGCCGUAGGGAAGUCGUGAAGCGAGCCACUUGGGAAGUACGACCGCAAGGUUGAAACUUAAAGGAAUUGGCGGGGGAGCAC
RNAcentral lists this ribosomal RNA (553 nucleotides) under uncultured archaeon. Its description in RNAcentral is "bacterial SSU rRNA". It matches the Rfam family "Archaeal small subunit ribosomal RNA", at positions 326 to 879 of the family's 1478-position model. The record is from RNAcentral.